GAUGAACGCUGGCGGCGUGCCUAAUACAUGCAAGUCGAGCGAACGGACGAGAAGCUUGCUUUUCUGAUGUUAGCGGCGGACGGCUGAGUAACACGUGGAUAACCUACCUAUAAGACUGGGAUAACUUCGGGAAGCCGGAGCUAAUACCGGAUAAUAUUUUGAACCGCAUGGUUCAAAAGUGAAAGACGGUCUUGCUGUCACUUAUAGAUGGAUCCGCGCUGCAUUAGCUAGUUGGUAAGGUAACGGCUUACCAAGGCAACGAUGCAUAGCCGACCUGAGAGGGUGAUCGGCCACACUGGAACUGAGACACGGUCCAGACUCCUACGGGAGGCAGCAGUAGGGAAUCUUCCGCAAUGGGCGAAAGCCUGACGGAGCAACGCCGCGUGAGUGAUGAAGGUCUUCGGAUCGUAAAACUCUGUUAUUAGGGAAGAACAUAUGUGUAAGUAACUGUGCACAUCUUGACGGUACCUAAUCAGAAAGCCACGGCUAACUACGUG
RNAcentral lists this ribosomal RNA (497 nucleotides) under uncultured bacterium. Its description in RNAcentral is "partial 16S ribosomal RNA". It matches the Rfam family "Bacterial small subunit ribosomal RNA", at positions 28 to 507 of the family's 1533-position model. The record is from RNAcentral.